CACUACGGCCAUGCCACCCUGAACAAGCACGAUCUCAUCUGAUAUUGGAAGCUAAGCAGGGUUGGGCCUGGUUAGUACUUGAUAGGAGACCACCUAGGAAGACUAGGUACUGUAGGAG
This 118-nucleotide ribosomal RNA is filed under the name Pteropus alecto (black flying fox). The record is from RNAcentral. Lineage: Eukaryota; Metazoa; Chordata; Mammalia; Chiroptera; Pteropodidae.